This 450-nucleotide ribosomal RNA is filed under the name uncultured bacterium. RNAcentral describes it as "partial 16S ribosomal RNA". It matches the Rfam family "Bacterial small subunit ribosomal RNA", at positions 29 to 523 of the family's 1533-position model. The record is from RNAcentral.
AGCGAACAUUGGCGGUAGGCUUAACACAUGCAAGUCGAGCGAGGCGUAAUAGUCGAGCGGCGAACGGGUGAGUAAUACAUGGGAAUCUACCCUGAAGUGGGGGAUAACGUUCAGAAAUGGACGCUAAUACCGCAUAAUCCACAUUGGGAAAGCGUUGCAGCGCUUUAGGAUGAGCCCAUGGCUGAUUAGCUAGUUGGUGAGGUAAUGGCUCACCAAGGCGACGAUCAGUAGCUGGUCUGAGAUGAUGAUCAGCCACACUGGAACUGAGACACGGUCCAGACUCCUACGGGAGGCAGCAGUGGGGAAUCUUGCGCAAUGGGGGCAACCCUGACGCAGCCAUACCGCGUGAGUGAUGAAGGUCUUCGGAUUGUAAAGCUCUUUCGGCGGGGACGACGAUGACGGUACCCGCAAAAGAAGUCACGGCUAACUUCGUGCCAGCCGCCGCCGUAA